Molecule: ribosomal RNA, 498 nt
Filed under: uncultured bacterium
Lineage: Bacteria
Description: partial 16S ribosomal RNA
Rfam family: Bacterial small subunit ribosomal RNA
Source: RNAcentral
GAUGAACGCUAGCGGCAGGCCUAAUACAUGCAAGUCGGACGGGAUUGAGAAGCUUGCUUUUCAUGAGAGUGGCGCACGGGUGCGUAACACGUAUGUAACCUACCUUAAUCAGGGGGAUAGCCUCUCGAAAGAGAGACUAACACCGCAUAAAAUCAAUUUAUGGCAUCAUAGAAUGAUCAAAUAUUUAUAGGAUUAAGAUGGGCAUGCGGAACAUUAGCUAGUUGGUAAAGUAACGGCGUACCAAGGCUACGAUGUUUAGGGGAUCUGAGAGGAUGACCCCCCACACUGGUACUGAGACACGGACCAGACUCCUACGGGAGGCAGCAGUAAGGAAUAUUGGUCAAUGGGCGCAAGCCUGAACCAGCCAUGCCGCGUGCAGGAAGACGGCCCUACGGGUUGUAAACUGCUUUUGUACCGGAAUAAACCUUUGUAUGUAUACGAAGCUGAAUGUACGGUAAGAAUAAGGAUCGGCUAACUCCGUGCCAGCCGCCGCUGUAA